GGUUGCGAUCAUACCAGCACUAAUGCACCAGAUCCCAUCAGAACUCCGCAGCUAAGCAUGCUUGGGCGAGAGUAGUAUUAGGAUGGGUGAGCCCCUGGGAAGUCCUCGUGUUACAAUCC
Molecule: ribosomal RNA, 119 nt
Filed under: Helianthus annuus (common sunflower)
Lineage: Eukaryota; Viridiplantae; Streptophyta; Magnoliopsida; Asterales; Asteraceae
Source: RNAcentral